GAUGAACGCUGGCGGCGUGCCUAAUACAUGCAAGUCGAGCGGACAGACGAUGAGCUUGUUCCUUUGACGUUAGCGGCUGACGGGUGAGUAACACGUGGAUAACCUACCUAUAUGUCUGGGGUAACUUCGGGAAACCGGAUCCAAUACCAGAUAAUAUAUUCAACCGCAUGGUUCAAGAGAGAUAGAGGGCUUUGCCGUCUGUAUUAGAUGGUUCCGGGUCGGAUUAGCUAGUUGGUAAGGUAACGGCCAACCAAGGCGACGAUCCGUAGCUGACCUGAGAGGAUGAUCAGCCACACUGGAACUGAGACACGGUCCAGACUCCUACGGGAGGCAGCAGUGGGGAAUAUUCGGCAAUGGGCGAAAGCCUGACCGAGCCAUACCGCGUGAGUGAAGAAGGUCUUCGGGUUGUAAAGCUCUGUUGUUGGGAAAGAAAAGCAGCAUGUGAAUCCCCCGCUGUUCUGACGGUACCUAAAGAAUAAGCACCGGCUAACUUCGUG
This 497-nucleotide ribosomal RNA is filed under the name uncultured bacterium. Its description in RNAcentral is "partial 16S ribosomal RNA". It matches the Rfam family "Bacterial small subunit ribosomal RNA", at positions 28 to 507 of the family's 1533-position model. The record is from RNAcentral.